This 658-nucleotide ribosomal RNA is filed under the name uncultured Gammaproteobacteria bacterium. Its description in RNAcentral is "bacterial SSU rRNA". It matches the Rfam family "Bacterial small subunit ribosomal RNA", at positions 8 to 664 of the family's 1533-position model. The record is from RNAcentral. Lineage: Bacteria; Pseudomonadati; Pseudomonadota; Gammaproteobacteria.
AGAGUUUGAUCAUGGCUCACAUUGAACGCUGGCGGCAGGCCUAACACAUGCAAGUCGAGCGCGAAAGCACUUCGGUGUGAGUAGAGCGGCGGACGGGUGAGUAACGCGUAAGAAUCUACCUAGUAGUGGGGGACAACUCGGGGAAACUCGAGCUAAUACCGCAUACGCCCUACGGGGGAAAGCGGGGGACCUUCGGGCCUCGUGCUAUUAGAUGAGCUUGCGUUGGAUUAGCUUGUUGGUGGGGUAAUGGCCCACCAAGGCGACGAUCCAUAGCUGGUCUGAGAGGAUGAUCAGCCACACCGGGACUGAGACACGGUCCGGACUCCUACGGGAGGCAGCAGUGGGGAAUAUUGCGCAAUGGGCGAAAGCCUGACGCAGCCAUGCCGCGUGUGUGAAGAAGGCCCUAGGGUUGUAAAGCACUUUCAAUUGGGAGGAAAAGCUAACGACUAAUACUCGUUAGCCCUGACGUUACCUUUAGAAGAAGCACCGGCUAACUCCGUGCCAGCAGCCGCGGUAAUACGGAGGGUGCAAGCGUUAAUCGGAAUUACUGGGCGUAAAGCGCGCGUAGGCGGCUUUUUAAGUCGGAUGUGAAAGCCCCGGGCUCAACCUGGGAACUGCACCCGAUACUGGAAGGCUAGAGUGCGAGAGAGGGAGGUAG